GCGAGCCCAGCCCCGGCGGAACCAGUCUGGGACCCGGUCGGGGGCGCAGCACGCGAAGACGAGGCGGCGGCGGCGGCAGCGGGGCAGCAGCAGGCGGUCAGUCAGGCGACGGCGGCAACGCCCGGACCCGCUGAGCCUGCCCGUUCCUGGCACCGGGAGCCCGCGUGGGAGGUGGCCCCAGGCGGGAGGCAGCCUGUGGAGCGGGGAGGAGCAGGAGGCUUCCAGGGCCAGGCCUCAGGCAUCUCCACGAUCUCGGGCUCCAGCCCGCCACCGAGCCGGUGAGCCAGGCCCUGGGCUGGCGGGUCUGCGCUGUGACCCCGAAUUCCUGCACAACACACUCGGCAGCCUCAUGGUCGCCCAAGUGAUCCAGUAUCAAAUGUGAAAGUGGACAUGCAUUCUUAAGGUAACUUGUAGUUCAUGGAAUCAUGUGUACUAUUAUAGUAAGUUUUCCAAGCUCUAUCAUGAUAUCUGUAUAAUUCUCUAGACUAGUGUGUUUAUAAUGUGGUUGAUACUGAGUAAAAGUAGGUUCUUUCCUCCCAAUGCACUUUAAAAACACUGGGGUUCCAAGAGAAAAAGCGCUUUUUUUGCUAGUCUAGCAAAGAGGUCAUUGGCUCAAGGGCCCAAAAAUCUGCCUCCCUGAUUUUGAGGAGUUUAGGGAUUUUAUGGAUUCAGACAUGAAGAGAGUGGUAUGGUUAUCAUCACAGUACUAAAUAUACACAAGCAUGAGCCUCGUGUUGAAAUUACCAUAGACAAAUGUAAAGUCAGCCUAGAAUAGCCACCAUAAUAAUAACUGUAUACAAGGUUGAGUCUAGUGUUGAAAUAACCAUUAAAAACGGUUAAGAUCAGGCUAGAAUAGCCAUCAAAAUAGUAAUUAUACACAGGAGUGAACUAGUAUUCAAAUAACCAUAAAUAAAUAUAAAGCUAGUUUAGAAUAACCACCACAAUAGUAACUAUACACAGGAUAAGCCUACUUUUGAUAUAACCACAAACAAAGGUAAGGUCAGACUAGAAUAACCAUAUACACAAGAAUGAGCAUAGUUUGAAAUUACAAUAAAGAAGGGAGAGCACAAUAUAGCCAGUUUCUUUAAAUUCAGGUAUUAGCUUUUGGCUGUUCUAUAAUAUAUUAAAAAAUAAAGAAAAAAAAGCAUCUUCAUAACAAUCCAGUAAUCAUAAACUUUUCUUAAUUCUUAAUUCUACGUUAAAAUGUUACAGGUCCAAGAAAGUUUAAAGCAGAAUAAAGAGGACCUUGACUCUAGAAUUCAUAUUUAUGUGAAACAAAUGGUAAAAUUUGAUCAAAAGUAAUUGAAGUUUUUGGGAUAAGAAAGAAAUUUAUUAUGGGUAGAACAAUGGGAUCCCCUGCAAGGUUCAUUGAUCAGGGUUUAUGGUGACAGAUCCAACAGUCAUGAAGUUACCUUCCUUUGAAAUGUCCUGAGAUAAGGACAGACAAUGGCAUUGGUUUUCCAAGCCAGUGCAGGAACAAAGCAUAGGGA
This 1490-nucleotide long non-coding RNA is filed under the name Dasypus novemcinctus (nine-banded armadillo). Its description in RNAcentral is "lncRNA (ENSDNOG00000051531.1)". Lineage: Eukaryota; Metazoa; Chordata; Mammalia; Cingulata; Dasypodidae. The record is from RNAcentral.